GCCCAGGUAGCUCAGUCGGUAGAGCAAAGGACUGAAAAUCCUUGUGUCGACAGUUCGAUUCUGUCCCUGGGCACCA
This 76-nucleotide transfer RNA is filed under the name Methylomicrobium album. RNAcentral describes it as "tRNA-Phe". It matches the Rfam family "tRNA". From Rfam's summary of the family: Transfer RNA (tRNA) molecules are approximately 80 nucleotides in length. Their secondary structure includes four short double-helical elements and three loops (D, anti-codon, and T loops). Further hydrogen bonds mediate the characteristic L-shaped molecular structure. tRNAs have two regions of fundamental functional importance: the anti-codon, which is responsible for specific mRNA codon recognition, and the 3' end, to which the tRNAs corresponding amino acid is attached (by aminoacyl-tRNA synthetases). tRNAs cope with the degeneracy of the genetic code in two manners: having more than one tRNA (with a specific anti-codon) for a particular amino acid; and 'wobble' base-pairing, i.e. permitting non-standard base-pairing at the 3rd anti-codon position. Lineage: Bacteria; Pseudomonadati; Pseudomonadota; Gammaproteobacteria; Methylococcales; Methylococcaceae. The record is from RNAcentral. RNAcentral also lists the same sequence under 10 other names.